Molecule: ribosomal RNA, 469 nt
Filed under: Microbacterium sp.
Lineage: Bacteria; Bacillati; Actinomycetota; Actinomycetes; Micrococcales; Microbacteriaceae
Description: partial 23S ribosomal RNA
Rfam family: Bacterial large subunit ribosomal RNA
Source: RNAcentral
AUAAAAGGUACCUCGGGGAUAACAGGCUGAUCUUGCCCAAGAGUCCAUAUCGACGGCAUGGUUUGGCACCUCGAUGUCGGCUCGUCGCAUCCUGGGGCUGGAGUAGGUCCCAAGGGUUGGGCUGUUCGCCCAUUAAAGCGGUACGCGAGCUGGGUUUAGAACGUCGUGAGACAGUUCGGUCCCUAUCCGCUGCGCGCGCAGGAACUUUGAGAGGAUCUGACCCUAGUACGAGAGGACCGGGUUGGACGAACCUCUGGUGUGUCAGUUGUUCCGCCAGGAGCACCGCUGAUUAGCUACGUUCGGGAUGGAUAACCGCUGAAAGCAUCUAAGCGGGAAGCCGGCCUCAAGAUGAGAUUUCCAUGCCUUCGGGCGAGAGGCUCCCAGCCAGAUUACUGGGUUGAUAGGCCAGAUGUGUAAGCGUGGCAACACGUGCAGCUGACUGGUACUAAUAAGCCGAUGACUUGAUAAC